GACGAACGCUGGCGGCGUGCUUAACACAUGCAAGUCGAACGGAAAGGCCCUGCGUUUGCGGGGUUCUCGAGUGGCGAACGGGGGAGUAACACGUGAGUAAACUGCACUUGACUGUGGGAUAACAUCAGGAAACUGGGGCUAAUACAGGAUAGGAGCUCCUGCUGCACGGUGGUGGUUGGAAAGUUUCGGCGGUGGGGGCUGGACUCGCGGCUUAUCAGCUUGCUGGUGAGGUAGUGGCUUCCCACGGCUUUGACGGGUAGCCGGCCUGAGAGCGUGACCGGCCUCCUUGCUCCUGCGAUACGCCCCAGACUCCUAUGGGCCGCAGCAGUGGGGAAUCUUGCGCAAUGGGCGGAAGCCUGAUGCAGCAGCCCCGCGUGCGGGAUGCCGGCUUUCGGGUUGUAAACCGCUUUCGCAUUUGCCGAAGCGUGCGUGACGGUACUGGGUCAAGAAGCCCCGGCUAACUACGUG
This 468-nucleotide ribosomal RNA is filed under the name uncultured bacterium. RNAcentral describes it as "partial 16S ribosomal RNA". It matches the Rfam family "Bacterial small subunit ribosomal RNA", at positions 28 to 507 of the family's 1533-position model. The record is from RNAcentral.